Molecule: long non-coding RNA, 1776 nt
Filed under: Marmota monax (woodchuck)
Lineage: Eukaryota; Metazoa; Chordata; Mammalia; Rodentia; Sciuridae
Source: RNAcentral
CUGCUCCCUAGUCUUCUGCCUCUCUCAUCUCAGGUCCCAGCACAGCCCUCCUGGUGUGCCCUGCCCUUCCUCUCUGAGCUCUUACAGACUGUGGCCCUCCAAUUCCACAGGGCAGGGCCUAAACAGAAGCCAGCCUUUCCCUUUUCUUACAUUUCUGGUGCUCUGGCCCUAGUCCUUAUUGCUGUCCGUAUAAAGCCAGGUUUGGGGUCUUGGGUCCCUGAGACUUCCCCCUUGUUUGCUGGCUCGUGUGCCUCCUGUUUCUCUACAGGCCCCUCCUGAUUUUUCCACAGGUCCAGUAGCUCUUUCAACCCAUUUCUUCUGACUGAAAAAUGAGCCUUAAGCAAUAUCCACUCUGGGAGCCUUCCUAAGCCUAAGAUUCCAUCAGACUGUCCUCUCCUGCCUCCAUCUGCCCCACACCUUUCCGUCUGCUUAGGAUCUUGCUGGGCCUGUCCGACUGACUAUAAGCAGCUUCCCAGCUUCCCACCUCUCACUGAGCGAGUACGGUGGCUCCGUGGAGGGCGUCCUGGAGGUGCAGGUGUGAUCACUUGAACGCUUGCCCUGGGAUGUGUGCUUCAUGGGCCUUAAUGCAUGUAGUAUCUCAUCAUCAGAUAACCACCAAUAGGGCACCCCCACUUUAUAGAUGCAAACGAAGCGCCCCUGCCUGCCCCCUUUUCUCUUCUUUCUUUCCCCAUGUGACCACAGCAAGCUAUUGUCUAACUUCCCAGACAGCCAUCUCCUUUCCAGCUCUUUUUACCCUCUUGUGUCAUCCUCCCCAAGUGUCUGAGUCACCUGGGUAUCACCCUCUGCUUGGCCUUCCUGCUGACUUCCUGUCCCCACUGCUCCAGUGGCCCAGCAGCCCAGCCUCUGACGUGAUUUUGUCUUCUGCCUUGACUUGGCUGUUCCCACUCCUUCAUACCCUGUUUCCCUUCUAACUAGACAGGAUUCACCCUUGGCCAUGACACCGAUUGAGCCCGCAGGCACUAUCCUCAUCCAUUCUUGGUUUCUUCAUCUAUAAAAUGGAGUCCCUUCCUAUGCCUCUCUCAGUGGACUGAGAUGACCACAUGUAUCUGUCUGCUACCUGGCAGGGCUCAAUACCACAGCUUGUAGCCAGGGGCACCUGCUGAGCUAUGGGUGGGGCCGGAGAGGCAGCUGUGGGUCUAUUCCUUGGAUCCUUCAGGCCUGGACUAACUAUAGUUAGGUCCUUGAGACAGUUUUCUUAUUGGAGAAGAACAACCAGGUAGAGCACAUAUUAAGUCCCUUUUAAAUGUUUUGCUGAUAGAAAUACUAAGCCCUGCAUUCCCAGGUAAGCGGAUGCUGACUUGGGUUCCCACUCAUCUGCACCAGGCUCCGGCCACCGCACUGAUUCUGGCCAGCAGGCUGCUGUAGGCUGUGCUAUUUGGCUUGGAGAGGAAAGAGGUGGACAGGACUCCUUCCCCCUUCUGCAGUCAGCUGGUGGCACCAUGGGGAAGCCCUCUGUGCCUGACUUGUUCUUAUACUCAGCUCAUUCAGAGGAAGGGAUGGUUCCAGUAAGGAUCCUCUCUUUUUUUCUCUUUGAAAUGAACAAUAAUUUCAAGUGGGUCAAACUUGGAAAUGAUUUUGUGGAGUUCCUUCCUUGAUUAAAUUGUUAAAGAGUGCGGAGGCAGACAGUGAAAAAAAUCCUUGCCUUACAGGCCCCUAAAAUAAAAACAAAAACAGGGCUGGGGUUGGGCUCAGCAGCAGAGCGCUCACCUUGAGGCUCUGGGUUCAAUCCUCAACACCACAUAAAAAUGAAUAAAU